This is a long non-coding RNA of Belonocnema kinseyi, 1580 nucleotides long. RefSeq lists it as uncharacterized. NCBI's taxonomy places the organism in Eukaryota, Metazoa, Arthropoda, Insecta, Hymenoptera, Cynipidae. The transcript is spliced from 7 exons. The record is from RefSeq and is a predicted model, not a curated record.
GACCGUUUCGUCGAGCUCCGUGUUUCCAGGUUGAAAGUGGACAGUUUUCCAUCAGUUUUUAUCCGAAUUUAACUGAACUUUAGUGUUGAAAUCACUAAUGAUCAAGAUUUGAUCAAAAGUUCUAAGAAUCUAAGUGUGAAUUUGUGACGAUUUUCGAUAUUCGGUUUGCGAGGUUAAACGUCUUACUUCGCCAUGGCGUUUGCUGUGCAAUUUAAUUAGGAUUUUUUGCUCAAAAACUGAAUGAAUUUCGGGUUAAAAGCUACAAAUUCGAAACUCCAGUGAAUUUUUAAUAUAUUUUGACGCUUAUUACUUUUUCUUACGUGAGUUAACAUACUAAAAGUGCUUUCAUAUGGACAUAUUAAAAAUAAGGACCAUCAUCUCCAAAAUGAAUUUGUUAUAAUACCUAUUGUGAAUUUGUGAAUGUUGAUCGUGUCUUUCCACUGUGAAAAUUUGAAUUUGAAGUACAGGGAUUAGGACGGAGCUGCUAUCGCCUCUACAAGGGACUCCGCAAAGAGUUUCUGAUGGAAUUUAAUUGUGCACUGAUAUGAUCAAAUAUUAUUUAAAUAUUUACCCCAUCCGAGGACGAUGUACCCAGUAAUACUGGAAUUGGAAUCCGUGAAUAGUGCAAGAAACACUAGAUUAUGAAGAUAUAGUCCUUCAAUUAGAAUCCAGGAGUAGUUCGCUAGGAUGAAAUACUGCCAAAAGCUCGUGAAGAUUUUACAAUCCAGAUUAGUUUCUAGUCCAGCUACCAGGUAGCUUUCGCCAUUUUUCACAAUUAUAUCCGACGCUAGUCCAAUUCCAGACACGAAAAGAAUAUCCUUCAGAAGAGCCAUAAAAGACCUUGACAUAAACGAUGCGAACAGGUGCAUGUGUAGAAUGUUCCUUGGACAUCGCAGUUUCCUGUACCAAUUAACAAACAGAAGUAACAUUUGGAAUUUCUGACCCACCUAUUGCACUUUGCUCAACGAAAUGAAUAUUUUACUGAUUUAUUCAUGGGAAAAAGGUUGACCGUUUUAAAGAAUUUUUUGACUAAAUUAAGAUAACUAAUAUGACGCGUAGGUAUGAUGGACUCAAGAAAAUCGCAUUGACAAAGCAUUUUGGUUAUUUUUCUACCAGUCAGUGAAUUGAUGAAAAAACGAAUGCUAGUAUGUAUACUUACUUGAUGGCUGCUAAAAUGCAAAAUGCAAUAACCAGAGUGAAAAAGGACAAAGUGUAUCCAACUUUUGAGAUCGUUUUCACAACAGCUGAUACUUUGGUGGAUCUGUGAGUGAAAGAUUUUUCCGUCUUAACCCGUAAACUUGAGAAAAAUCUGAUGUCAAGCCAUGAAAAUCGAAUAAGAGAAGCCGUCCACUUUUAAAAGUACAAAGAGAAAAGUAAAUUUCCGGAGCGAUGAAAAUAUCGAAAAGGAGGGAAAAGCUACAAUAAGACUAUCAAAUUCAGCCGACAGAAAUACGGAGAGACAGAGGACUUUAAAGCUUUCCCCGUAAUAAGAAAUCAUUCUAUAAAUACUUGAAUGUUAUACACUGAGAGACCUUUUGUUAAAAUAAAUAAAAAAAACUGAAUUUUAAUUUAGUAUAAUA